GUGAGGAAUUUUCCGCAAUGGGCGAAAGCCUGACGGAGCAAUGCCGCGUGAAGGAUGAAGGCCUAUGGGUUGUAAACUUCUUUUCUCAGAAAAGAAUUAUGACGGUAUCUGAGGAAUAAGCAUCGGCUAACUCUGUGCCAGCAGCCGCGGUAAGACAGAGGAUGCAAGCGUUAUCCGGAAUGAUUGGGCGUAAAGCGUCUGUAGGUUGUUUAAAAAGUAUUCUGUCAAAGAUUAGGGCUUAACCCUAGAUAGGCAGAAUAAACUUUUAAGCUAGAGGUUGGUAGAGGCAGAGGGAAUUCCCGGGGGAGCGGUGAAAUGCGUAGAUAUCGGGAGGAACACCAAAGGCGAAGGCACUCUGCUGGGCCAAUACUAACACUGAGAGACGAAAGCGAGGGGAGCAAAUGGGAUUAGAUACCCGAGUAGUCC
Molecule: ribosomal RNA, 426 nt
Filed under: uncultured bacterium
Lineage: Bacteria
Description: partial 16S ribosomal RNA
Rfam family: Bacterial small subunit ribosomal RNA
Source: RNAcentral